CUAAAGACUGCAACAUGCAACCCUCAUAGUCAGAGUAAAUAUAUAAAGUAGAUUCAUUUUAAGUGGAUAUACCUGAUAACCUGACACCUGAACUUCUCCCUGAGAACAGAUUGGAGUGAUUAGAGAACCCGAACCCUGAACUGGAACCCUGGACCACGCGGGACGUGGAAAGGGAUUCCUACAUUCUGGCGCCUACCGAGGGACUUCUGGAGGAGAAGGUAUUUUUCGCCUAAGAGCGAAGGAAGGAAAAAGUACACCGAGGAAAGGUGUGGAAAAUUCACUGGAAAAAAGGUGAGGGAAGUUCACCGCACACAAAAGCCCACGGCCAGCUGCAGAGUCGCGAACUAAAACAACUCCAAGACCAUGUGGAUUCCUGCAACAGAGAGAAAUUGAAAGGACUGCUCCAGCCAUGAAGACAGAAGAGAAGCAGUCCAGAGAUGGAGGGCACUGACGACACCUUGCCGUGCUGGCUGUCAGCGGCUGUGCGUCGCUGCGGUUUGCCCAGGACCGGACUGGAGCACUAUUCAGAAAGGAACUCCAAGACUACAAAGUGGAGGAAGCUCUUUCUCUGAGUGGCCUGUUAAAAUGAUGAGAUUAGACCUACUGAUGUGGCUCAUGUCUUUGCUCUUUCUGUCAUUUUUAUGAUGGAUGGAUUGCACCAAGUUAGAGGAGAAAACUCCAAAGCCCAUAUGGAUUCCUGCAACAACGGAUCCCAGAGAGACCUGAUAGGACUACUGCAGCCACAUAAUAAGCAGUGACCCCCGCGAACAGAGGAGAAAUAGUCCAGAAAUAAAAAUAGUGAAGAUGCCUUGCCAUGCUAGCAGUCAGCACCUGUGCAUUGCUGCAGGUUGACCAGGACCAAGGUAAUAAUGUGGGGAAGAGGUUGUGUUUUAUAUCUUUCCAGAAGGAGCAAUGCAGCCAAUUCGGGUGCCAGAGCGUUACAUCCGUCACCACAAUGGACUCAGAGAAGCUCCUGUGUCCCUUCACUCAAAGGACUGAGAGCUGCCCUGAUGACAGCAAAGCGGGGGAAGAAGAAAACUGAAAGCUACACAAGGGACUGAGGUGCCAACAUGGAGUCGUCUGAAGAAAACGACUGAAGCACAGGAGAUUGUGGAAAAGCAAGAAGUUGAGGCUACUUCUUCAACCAUGUUCCUGCUCAUGCUAGCAUCUGUUAGCUGCCAGUCUUCUGCAAAGUCUUGCGCAGCCAAGUCCAAGGACUCUGAGUAAAUAUACACCAGCAGCAAGAGAGACUUUCUUUCAUUUAGUAGCAAAAAAUGUUAACCUGUCCAUAGUUCUGAUUUGUCUCAUUGUUGUUUUGCAUUGGCAUUGUUUGCAAUUGUGUUAAUAUUAGAGCUUUAUUCUUAAUGUUUAAAUUUUACUUUUAUUAUAGUAGCUUAAAAACAAAAGAAAGAGUGAGAUGUAGAGGGCCGCCUGGGAGGCACCUGGGCAUUUCCUUAAUUAUCAUCAGUUGAACUCAGGGCAUAGGCGGAGUCACACCCUGGGAACAUGCUUCCCCAAUGAGGCUGGACAUGUUAAUCAGUUCUGACUUCAUAGCAGCCCAGGUGUCAGCAGGAGCAGGUCUAGAUAUGUAAAUCCAGUAAUGCUAGGGCCUACUUAAGAAUGCAAAUAAGCUCCUUUGAUCCUAAGUU
This is a long non-coding RNA of Eptesicus fuscus (big brown bat), 1649 nucleotides long. RefSeq lists it as uncharacterized. The record is from RefSeq and is a predicted model, not a curated record. The transcript is spliced from 6 exons. Lineage: Eukaryota; Metazoa; Chordata; Mammalia; Chiroptera; Vespertilionidae.